GACGAACGCUGGCGGCGCGCUUAACACAUGCAAGUCGAACGGAAAGGCCUGCUUUCCCUUGUGGAUUGCGGGUACUCGAGUGGCGAACGGGUGAGUAACACGUGAGUGAUCUGCCCCCAACUUGGGUAUAAGCCUGGGAAACUGGGUCUAAUUCCCGAUAGGACUGCAGGGUGGUGCCUGUGGUGGAAAACGAUUUUCUAGUGGUUGGGGAUGAGCUCGCGGCCUAUCAGCUUGUUGGUGGGGUAAUGGCCUACCAAGGCGGCGACGGGUAGCCGGCCUGGGAGGGUGGACGGCCACAUUGGGACUGAGAUACGGCCCAGACUCCUACGGGAGGCAGCAGUGGGGAAUAUGGCACAAUGGGCGGAAGCCUGAUGCAGCGACGCCGCGUGGGGGAUGACAGCCUUCGGGUUGUAAACUCCUUUCGACCGCGAGGAAGCCACCUGGUUGGAAGGGUGGUGACGGUAGUGGUAGAAGAAGCACCGGCUAACUACGUG
RNAcentral lists this ribosomal RNA (494 nucleotides) under uncultured bacterium. RNAcentral's name for it is "partial 16S ribosomal RNA". It matches the Rfam family "Bacterial small subunit ribosomal RNA", at positions 28 to 507 of the family's 1533-position model. The record is from RNAcentral.